RNAcentral lists this long non-coding RNA (228 nucleotides) under Elaeis guineensis (African oil palm). RNAcentral describes it as "long non-coding RNA (EGUI_LNC019319)". The record is from RNAcentral. Lineage: Eukaryota; Viridiplantae; Streptophyta; Magnoliopsida; Arecales; Arecaceae.
UCGGCUGCUUCUUGGAGAGUUCUGAGGUGGUGGAGGUGCCUAACUUCAGCCCCUUUCGGAUGGCCUCCAUCUUCAUCCAAAAGGAUAUGGAAGUGCUGUGCCUUAGGUAUCUAAUUCCUUCAGAAUUUAAACUAGAGUUAGUCGGUCCCGAGGAUUGGAUUGCCUUAUCUUUCGGAGGCUGGAUUGAACUAUAUGAAGAGUCUUUGAAGACCGACCUUAGAUUGCCCC